Molecule: ribosomal RNA, 423 nt
Filed under: uncultured bacterium
Lineage: Bacteria
Description: bacterial SSU rRNA
Rfam family: Bacterial small subunit ribosomal RNA
Source: RNAcentral
UGAGGAAUCUUGCGCAAUGGGGGAAACCCUGACGCAGCAACGCCGCGUGAGUGAGGAAGGCCUUCGGGUCGUAAAGCUCUGUCAGAUGGGAAGAAAUGGGUGGGGGCUAAUAUCGUCCAUCCUUGACGGUACCAUCAGAGGAAGCACCGGCUAACUCCGUGCCAGCAGCCGCGGUAAUACGGGGGGUGCAAGCGGUGUUCGGAAUCAUUGGGCGUAAAGCGCGCGCAGGCGGCUUGGUAAGUCAGAUGUGAAAUCCCUGGGCUUAACCCAGGAAGUGCAUUUGAUACUGCCUCGCUAGAGUACGGGGGAGGAAAGUGGAAUUCCUGGUGUAGAGGUGAAAUUCGUAGAUAUCAGGAGGAACACCGGUGGCGAAGGCGACUUUCUGGCCCGAUACUGACGCUCAGGCGCGAAAGCGUGGGGAGC